AACGAACGCUGGCGGCGCGUCUUAAACAUGCAAGUCGAACGAUCUGUAGCAAUACAGGGAGUGGCGGACGGGUGAGGAACACGUAGGAAUCUACCUAGAAGAGCGGGACAACUGUGGGAAACCGGGGCUAAUACCGCAUAGUACAGAGAUGUUAAAGGGCUAGCAAUAGUCGCUUCUAGAUGAGCCUGCGGUCUAUCAGCUUGUUGGUGAGGUAAUGGCUCACCAAGGCAGCGACGGAUAGCCGGUCUGAGAGGAUGAUCGGCCACACUGGCACUGAGACACGGGCCAGACUCCUACGGGAGGCAGCAGUUAAGAAUCUUGCGCAAUGGGGGAAACCCUGACGCAGCGACGCCGCGUGAAGGAUGAAGGCUUUCGGGUUGUAAACUUCGGUAGACUGGGAAGAAGAACUACGUUCGUUGAGGGCGUAGAGUGACGGUACCAGUCUGAAGCCCCGGCUAAUUACGUGCCAGCAGCCGCGGU
This 480-nucleotide ribosomal RNA is filed under the name uncultured bacterium. Its description in RNAcentral is "bacterial SSU rRNA". It matches the Rfam family "Bacterial small subunit ribosomal RNA", at positions 29 to 521 of the family's 1533-position model. The record is from RNAcentral.